UGUAAAGGGAUUCAAGAAACUUUUAGUAAUCCAUAAAAGCAUAUAUAUCUUGUAACACCUCAAAUCAUAGAUCAUGUCUCAAUGCAUCCAGCAUCACCUCCAUAAUAAAGAGUUCUUAACCAAGGUUCUUUAUCCCCAUUACCAUACAAGGUUCUGUAACACUUCAAACUGGUUUCACGUGCCUUCAGACGGUUGAUUUCAGGAUCUAUAACCUUUUUAAAACCAGUGAUGACUUUGAUACUGUUCACAUAGGCUGCCUUGCUUAAACCCUCCCUAGGCCUUCCAUUUGAUUUCUAUGUUGAUUUCUCUUAAACCUCGAGAAUCUAAAAAAUCUAUUUCUUAAAUUCUUCAUUCUAUGAAUCCGACAAACACACCGUUUUCAGUUCGAACACGGUAUAGAACGAGAGAACGUUCGGUUUUAGAAGUGGGUUUAAGCAAAGACGUCUUAUUAAUGGUGGGAAGAACGUUUCGUCGGUUACAAGGAAAGAAAAUGCGUGAAAAGAAAGUUAUCGGAGCUUCGAAGGCUUUACCGGAGAGAUACAAAAAGACGAGAUAACAAAGGUAAAACCCUAAUCUAGCCGCCAAGUGUGUAUCAAUGAUUUCUGAUCAAACAAGGAUCAUCUGGUUGAGGCAGGUUUAGUCCAGCAAAGUCUUUGGCACUGUAAUUACUCCGAACACUUAAACGACUCGUAGCUCCAGCAAUUUCCCUCGUAACUAUUACUUGUGGCACAAGUAUCGCUUUCUCAGCCUCAAAACAAAGAAAAAAUGCCAGAGACUCUGUCUGUACACCAGCUUUCUUAAUACAACUCUAUGUUCAGACGUCCAUUAAUCCAUGCCUACACAAGAUCUCCAGUGUUAACAACAAGAAAGUCCUCACUCGAUUUUUAUCAAUCAAAUUUCCUUCCUUAGAGACCUCAUCUACCAACUAAAUUUUGAUAAACUAUUGUGAAUCUUGAUUAACUAACCAGUUUUUAGGUAUUAGAAAAUAGAAAUGAUGAUAGUUUAUAAAAAUUUAAUGUGACAUUUUUGACUUUGGCUAUAGUUUCAUUAUUUUCAUCCUGAGAAGUGAGAAGUCAGAGACAAUUAAGUUAUAGCUUAAAUAUCAUAUAUUCUCAAUGUAUGUAAAGGGAUUCAAGAAACUUUUAGUAAUCCAUAAAAGCAUAUAUAUCUUGUAACACCUCAAAUCAUAGAUCAUGUCUCAAUGCAUCCAGCAUCACCUCCAUAAUAAAGAGUUCUUAACCAAGGUUCUUUAUCCCCAUUACCAUACAAGGUUCUGUAACACUUCAAACUGGUUUCACGUGCCUUCAGACGGUUGAUUUCAGGAUCUAUAACCUUUUUAAAACCAGUGAUGACUUUGAUACUGUUCA
RNAcentral lists this long non-coding RNA (1367 nucleotides) under Brassica napus (rape). RNAcentral's name for it is "long non-coding RNA (BNAP_LNC015152)". The record is from RNAcentral. Lineage: Eukaryota; Viridiplantae; Streptophyta; Magnoliopsida; Brassicales; Brassicaceae.